UGAUGUGAGGGCGAUCUGGCUGUGACAUCUGUCACCCCAUUGAUUGCCAGGGUUGAUUUGGGUGAUCUGGCUGGCUAGGCUGGUGUCCCCUAUCCUCCCUCACCACUCCAUGUGCAUCCCUCCCGAAGUUGUGUGCUCGGUCAAAGAGGACGACCAUCCCUGAUAGAGGAGGACCGGUCUUCGGUCAAGGGUAUCCGAGUAGCUGCGCUCCCCUGCUAGAACCUCCAAACAAGCUCUGCCUCCUUCUUUUAUUUAAAAAAAGUUGUAAUUUUAUUGGGCCCACUCAGUUAAUCCAGGAUAAUGUCCCCAUUUUAAGAUCAGCUGACUAGCAACAUUAAUUUCA
Molecule: small nuclear RNA, 343 nt
Filed under: Pongo abelii (Sumatran orangutan)
Lineage: Eukaryota; Metazoa; Chordata; Mammalia; Primates; Hominidae
Description: 7SK RNA
Rfam family: 7SK RNA
About the family: 7SK was discovered as an abundant small nuclear RNA in the mid-70s but a possible function has only recently been suggested. Two independent studies have found that 7SK RNA binds the CDK9/cyclin T complex (known as elongation factor P-TEFb). P-TEFb activates transcription by phosphorylating the C-terminal domain of RNA polymerase II.
Source: Rfam by way of RNAcentral